RNAcentral lists this transfer RNA (72 nucleotides) under Coelastrum sp. F187. RNAcentral's name for it is "tRNA-Gly". The record is from RNAcentral. Lineage: Eukaryota; Viridiplantae; Chlorophyta; Chlorophyceae; Sphaeropleales; Scenedesmaceae.
AGCGGAUAGAGAGACUCGAACUCUCACUACCAGUUUGGAAGACUGGCACUCUAACCAUUGAGCUAUAUCCGC